RNAcentral lists this transfer RNA (66 nucleotides) under Monomia gladiator. RNAcentral describes it as "tRNA-Thr". It matches the Rfam family "tRNA". Rfam says of the family: Transfer RNA (tRNA) molecules are approximately 80 nucleotides in length. Their secondary structure includes four short double-helical elements and three loops (D, anti-codon, and T loops). Further hydrogen bonds mediate the characteristic L-shaped molecular structure. tRNAs have two regions of fundamental functional importance: the anti-codon, which is responsible for specific mRNA codon recognition, and the 3' end, to which the tRNAs corresponding amino acid is attached (by aminoacyl-tRNA synthetases). tRNAs cope with the degeneracy of the genetic code in two manners: having more than one tRNA (with a specific anti-codon) for a particular amino acid; and 'wobble' base-pairing, i.e. permitting non-standard base-pairing at the 3rd anti-codon position. Lineage: Eukaryota; Metazoa; Arthropoda; Malacostraca; Decapoda; Portunidae. The record is from RNAcentral.
GUUUUAAUAGUUUAAUGUAAAACUUUGGUCUUGUAAACCAAGAAUGAAACUCAAUUUCUUAAAACU